RNAcentral lists this ribosomal RNA (1107 nucleotides) under Triticum aestivum (bread wheat). Its description in RNAcentral is "partial small subunit ribosomal RNA". The record is from RNAcentral. Lineage: Eukaryota; Viridiplantae; Streptophyta; Magnoliopsida; Poales; Poaceae.
AUGGCAACCUAUGAGCCCAAGAACAUCCUCAUAACCGGUGCCGCAGGUUUCAUCGCGUCCCACGUGGCAAACCGUCUGGUCAGGAAUUACCCGCGCUACAACAUCGUCAUUCUCGACAGGGUCGACUAUUGCUCCAGCCUUAGAAACCUCGACCCUUCUCGUGGAUCCCCGAAUUUCAAGUUUGUCAGGGGCGACAUCGCCAGUGCCGACUUGGUGAACCACCUCCUGGUCACCGAGUCGAUCGAUACCGUCAUGCACUUUGCUGCCCAGACUCACGUCGACAACUCCUUCAGCUGUUCCUUUGAGUUCACCAAAAACAAUGUGUACGGUACCCACAUCCUCCUCGAGGCAUGCAAGCAGGUUAAGAUCAGAAGGUUCAUUCAUGUCAGCACCGAUGAAGUCUACGGAGAAACUGAUGUCAAUGCUGUUGUUGGUAACCAUGAGGAAUCUCGGCUGCUUCCGACGAACCCGUAUUCGGCUACGAAAGCCGGGGCAGAGAUGCUGGUGAUGGCCUACGCAAGGUCCUAUAAUCUUCCGGUGAUCACCACACGAGGUAACAAUGUGUAUGGGCCAAACCAGUUCCCCGAGAAGCUCAUCCCCAAAUUUGCUCUCCUGGCAAUGAGAGGCCUGCCACUCCCGGUUUAUGGGAAUGGCUCGAAUGCCAGGAGCUACUUGUACUGUGAGGAUGUCGCAGAAGCCUUUGAUGUUGUUCUUCACAGAGGAGAGGUUGGGCAUGUGUAUAACAUCGCCGCGGCUAAGGAGAGGGGAGUGGUGGAUGUGGCCAGGGACAUAUGUGAGAUUCUUGGGGUGGACCCUGAGAAGGCCAUCAAGUUCGUGGAGGACAGGCCGUUCAAUGACCAAAGGUACUUUGUGGACGGUGAGAAGAUGAGGAGGCUGGGGUGGUUGGAGCGCACAACGUGGGAGGAGGGACUGAGGAAGACGGUGGAGUGGUACGCCAGCAAUGCUGAUUACUGGGGAGAUGUUGGCGUUGUCUUGCGAGGGCAGCAUCGUAACUGGACAUAUGCUGCCUCAUCACCGCAAGCUGAUGAAGCAGUUGAGGAUCCUAAGUUGAAAAGCGCAAGAUCGAAGUGCAGGGCAAUGUUAUAA